This 303-nucleotide ribosomal RNA is filed under the name Triticum aestivum (bread wheat). RNAcentral's name for it is "partial small subunit ribosomal RNA". Lineage: Eukaryota; Viridiplantae; Streptophyta; Magnoliopsida; Poales; Poaceae. The record is from RNAcentral.
AUGCUCGAUGAGCAGGAAGCCCCCCAAGUGACCAUAAUAAGAAAAGCAAAGGUAGUGCCCGAUAGAUGUAUUGACCUUGGUCUUCAUGUAGCAUCAAUCAAGUCUGGAAUCCAGGCAUGGACCCUUGCAGAUAAGACUAGAAGCGGAGAUCGCUACGGCGGCUCAGCGCAGACGGCGGAUAAUCAAGCUGAUGAUGAGUGCGUCCAAAAUAGCAGCGACUUGAAGAGGCAAAGGGUGAACCAGGGUAGUGGCGGCUUGGAAGACGGCGGCUCACGGACAGCCAUAGCAAGGGUGGCAACUUGA